Long non-coding RNA from Apis cerana (Asiatic honeybee), 448 nucleotides. RefSeq lists it as uncharacterized. NCBI's taxonomy places the organism in Eukaryota, Metazoa, Arthropoda, Insecta, Hymenoptera, Apidae. The record is from RefSeq and is a predicted model, not a curated record.
CUGCUGAUUGCCACCCGGUUGAACAUCUUGUCUCUCGUCCUCGGAAGCGCUACGCCGGGACUCAGCCUCGCAAUACACGGAUUGCUCGAGCUGUUGUCUCCUGAAAAACGAUAAUCACCCGUUCGCGCAUCGAAGAAUGGUCGAGAGAUUAACGUCGAGGAGCAGAUGGGCCGGACGCGAUCGACUAGACAUUCUGGAAAAAAGUCGUGAAGAUCGCCUAAUUCGACGCCCCCUCCUACGAGGAUCCUUCGAAACAACCAUCUGGCAGCAGCUGGUGCUGCUGCUGCUGCUUACUUGCCCCCCUCGGCCAUCACGCACGAUCUAAUUUUCUUUUCGUUUAUCUCGGAUUAACAUUUCGUCCAAAUAUAUGGAUAUCUGUAUGGAUAGUCGUAGAAAUAUAUAACGAGAUGUUGGUUCAAAACGAGCAAACAAUUUCGAAAGAAGUUAA